This 433-nucleotide ribosomal RNA is filed under the name uncultured bacterium. RNAcentral's name for it is "partial 16S ribosomal RNA". It matches the Rfam family "Bacterial small subunit ribosomal RNA", at positions 29 to 507 of the family's 1533-position model. The record is from RNAcentral.
AACGAACGCUGGCGGCAUGCCUAACACAUGCAAGUCGAACGAGACCUUCGGGUCUAGUGGCGAACGGGUGCGUAACGCGUGGGAACCUGCCCUUAGGUUCGGAAUAACUCCCCGAAAGGGGUGCUAAUAUCGGAUAAUGUCUUCGGACCAAAGAUUUAUCGCCUUUGGAUGGGCCCGCGUUGGAUUAGCUAGUUGGUAGGGUAAAAGCCUACCAAGGCGACGAUCCAUAGCUGGUCUGAGAGGAUGAUCAGCCACACUGGGACUGAGACACGGCCCAGACUCCUGCGGGAGGCAGCAGUGGGGAAUAUAGGACAAUGGGCGAGAGCCUGAUCCAGCAAGGCCGCGUGAGUGAUGAAGGCCUUAGGGUUGUAAAGCUCUUUUACCCGGGAUGAUAAUGACAGUACCGGGAGAAUAAGCACCGGCUAACUCCGUG